Long non-coding RNA from Heterocephalus glaber (naked mole-rat), 856 nucleotides. RefSeq lists it as uncharacterized. The record is from RefSeq and is a predicted model, not a curated record. NCBI's taxonomy places the organism in Eukaryota, Metazoa, Chordata, Mammalia, Rodentia, Bathyergidae.
GUGACAUCACUCCACAAGCCCCUCUCUGAAGUAGCCAAGAGUCUGAGCUGCUGCUGAGCUAAGUGAUGCUGUGGACCGUAGGCUCCUCUGUGGGAUUCUGUGCUGUUGGACCCAUGUGCUCUUCCUGUGUAGCCUUGCUCACUACAGGAAUCAGAAGUCACUGAGUACCCCUCAGCAGUCUGCGACGGUAUUGGUCAUCACAUCUAUCAAGCCACUGAUCUUGUUACCCAGAAAAGAAUACCCAUCUGUCUGCUGAGGGACUCUGCCAACUGAGCAGCUGCAUUAGCAGACUGAAAACGGACCAGUCUCUUGGGCAGGUGAGAGGAAAGAAGAUCUGCCUAUGACUUCCAGUAAAAUUGUGGAUAAAACUUGAUGACAGAAUUUUGUGGUCUUUUCUUAUGAAUUCUUGAUGGGAUUCAUACAAUGGAAGCUUAUAAGAGACUUCAGUCUCGGCAAUUUCUGUGUUUCUCCAGAAUUUUCCUCUGUUCUACUAGACUUGCACAGAGUUUUUCCAUGUGAGUUUCUGAUUCCUUUCCUGUUCUGACCUGAUACAUAGCACCAUGAACACACCAAAUCUUAUGUGAACUGAGACUCGUUAAGAAGUUUUUCCAUGUGGCCUUUGAAUUCUGAAGAACAUCAAAAGUACCAAGUAAAGAAUAUUCUUAUAUCAUCUCUGCAAGGGUUACGGUACCAGUUUUGUGUUAGUAAGAAAACCAGAGAUGAGAUACCAAGAUAAACCAAAGACUUGUGAAGAAACCAAAAGUAGGAAUUAUUCAAGCUUCCAUUCAGAACUACAUCAUUUUCAACAAUUUAAAAAGAGAAAUAAAGUAUGAAUGCAUUUGAUAAUAACAAUGAA